CAGAGACUGGAGCAGAGACAAGUUGUUCCCACUGAGCUCUCCUCAGAUUACAGAUUGGUCUGAUUAUAAAAGGAGAAUUGGAGGCUUACCAAACAUCUGAAGAGCUUUCCAGAAGUUUGGUCACUUCUGAAUUAGAGAAGUUAAAACCCAAUCACCUACUAAUGCUGUGGGAAAGUUCUGCAGGUGAUACAUCACAGGGGCUCAUGAAUGUGUCUUAAGCUGGGUCAUUGAAGUGGAAUGUUUUCACAAGACCUCCUCCACUUGCUACUGUGUCCGGAAUUGGUGGGUUCUUGGUCUCACUGACUUCAAGAAUGAAGCCGCGGACCCUCGCGGGAGUGGCAAAUCAAAGGCAUUGCAGCCUCUUUCAUCACUGCCGAUUGCUGAUGCCAACCAUGUGCCAAGUGCUUAAUACGUCACCUUAAAUCUUCUCAUCCACCCUCAGAGUAGCUGCAGCAUCAACCCAGUGCCCUGACUUUCAAGACGACUAUGAAAACACCCCAACUGCUGCUAAAUUACCAGCAACAAGGAUCUGACAUUCUUAUUCAAAAGAAAGAACACCGAAAUUGACCUUACCCUGACAAUAUGAUGGCUGAAGGAUUUAUGAUCACUUAUAACAUUUGAAAUUGAGGCGGAACCUGAAGAAUAAGACUCUGGUGAAAGGUCCUAUUUAUGCUUUUGAUGUCUUUCACUUGGACAUUUACCACAUGCCUAUUGGUAGGUUUGUUACAUAGGUCAGUUAAGGUGAUACAAGAAUAAAUAAAACACUAUCCCUAUCCUUUAAUAUCAUUUAUUUAUGGGGUCAAUCACAGAUUUUCAUUUUUCAAAAUCUUUGAUAAAUGUCAGAAUUAUGUUUUUUAAUAUUUUUACAGAAUUAUUACAAUAUAUGGUAGAGGAUGGAAGGCAAGGUAGUAUGAAACGGAAAAGAUAUUUUGAAUUAAGGUAUUUGGACCUGGAUUAAUAUUUUUGCUUUGGUCUUUAUUAGCUGAGUGACCUUGAGAAAGUUCUUCUACUAAAAAAGAACAAAGAUAAUAAUUACUUCAUGAAAUUGCUGUAAAAAACACAUAACAAGUAUAUCCAGACUCAACAGUGUAUGCUCAAAAAUGCAGAUCCUUUUUCCCUUACCUGCAAAUAAAGUCUUACAGUAAUACAGUGGGGGUAAAGGUUUAAACUGGUGGAUUCAAGAAGGGCUAUAGAAAGAGGUAGCAUCUUAAUAGGGGAAGGAGAGGAUCCAAGAAAUCAGAUCCAUUUUCUACAAAAAGAAAUGGGAAGACAGAUAAUUCAAGAAGAAAAGUUUACAUGAUUAAAGACCCGAAGUUAGAAAUAGUGAUGUGUCUCAAUAGUAAGUUAGGAAUUGGGGUGGACACAAUUGUUGGAAGAAGGAUGGUUUCAGCAAAGGCCCAAGUUAGGUGACAAUUUCAAGUGUUUGUGAAGAUAUAUGAACAAAAUUAUAAAGUAGUUAGGGUAUAAGAAAUAGGGAGGAGGGAAUGAAUUAACAUUUAUGGAGUGUCUUGCAUGUUCCAAGCACUGUACUACUUGCCUUAUAAACCUUUCUUCAAUAAACGCCUACAACA
This 1571-nucleotide long non-coding RNA is filed under the name Homo sapiens (human). Its description in RNAcentral is "HSALNT0354246". Lineage: Eukaryota; Metazoa; Chordata; Mammalia; Primates; Hominidae. The record is from RNAcentral.